Long non-coding RNA from Lycium barbarum (goji berry), 1087 nucleotides. RefSeq lists it as uncharacterized. The transcript has 3 exons. Lineage: Eukaryota; Viridiplantae; Streptophyta; Magnoliopsida; Solanales; Solanaceae. The record is from RefSeq and is a predicted model, not a curated record.
AGUCCAAAAAAAAUAAGUUGAGGUGGCCAACUUAUUUUUUUGGCUUAUAAGCUAUUUUUUUGUCAAACCAGCUUAUAAAUUAUUAUUUUUAAGCUAAGCCAAAUGGGUACUAGGAAUAUAUAGCAUUAGUUAAGGCCAAAUACAUAUGCAACCCCCUAAACUUGUCACAAUUUUCCAUUUAGACACUUGAACUCAAUCUAGUAUCUAUUGAACACCUAAACUCUUGAAAAAAUGUUCUAAUUAGACACAUUUUACUGACAUGGCAAAAUAUGUGCUUUUCACUCUCUUUACGCGCGUGCAAUAUUUGGGAAAUGGUUUUUUUUCUCCUUCUCUUUUCCGCUUGUUUUACUUGAAUAUCGACAAGAAAUUCUUCACCAGAACACCACCGUCAAGAAAACUUGUAAAAAAACCUUCAAAUUUGAUUUCUCCAAUUCCAACACCACCAUAACCAGCUGCAAUUUUCCCAAAUUCUUUUUAGGAACAACCUGAAAUUGGUUUCCUCAAACCCAUGAUUCCCUUUCAUGAUUUCUCUCCACUGGGUUUGUUAUCCGAUUUGAAUCACUUACCAGAAGUGAAAAUAUUCAUUUUUUUUUAACUCUCCAGUUUAAUUCUUACUUGUCACCACCAAACCAACUAAAAUGUUUUAACAGAAGCGGACGCACGGCGAGGAUAUGGGGCGAAGCGUAAGUCUUGAGGCGUAAGCCCUAUAAAUUACAAAGCUGGCAGCCCCUACCCCACCCCUCCAUCAACUCGUGUCAGCGACCCCAGGGGAGUACUAGGCAGUGGAUGCACACCGGCAAACAGUAACUUCCGGCAGUGGCACUAGUAAUACUGCAAGAGUGACGAGAAGGCGAUACAACAGAUGCACCUUGAUAUCUCCAGCUUUAAUCCAGGUGACAUUAUCUCGGAGUUGGUACCUCCGGUUGCAUGUUUGCUCGGUUCUGACUUUCUUUCUUGUAGUUUUAAUUGCUUUGUUUUUGUACUGACUAGUUUAUAGUCAUUUAUUUUAGAUACCUUAUUUUAGACGCCCUUUCUUGUUGUAGUGGUAGUGGUAGUGGUAGCUUAGUAACUCCUAGAAUAUAGUGGC